This 479-nucleotide ribosomal RNA is filed under the name uncultured bacterium. RNAcentral describes it as "partial 16S ribosomal RNA". It matches the Rfam family "Bacterial small subunit ribosomal RNA", at positions 28 to 507 of the family's 1533-position model. The record is from RNAcentral.
GAUGAACGCUGGCGGCGUGCUUAACACAUGCAAGUCGAACGAAGCACCUUGAUUUGAUUCUUCGGAUGAAGAUCUUGGUGCCUGAGUGGCGGACGGGUGAGUAACGCGUGGGUAACCUGCCUCAUACAGGGGGAUAACAGUUAGAAAUGACUGCUAAUACCGCAUAAGACCACAGCACCGCAUGGUGCAGGGGUAAAAACUCCGGUGGUAUGAGAUGGACCCGCGUCUGAUUAGGUAGUUGGUGGGGUAACGGCCUACCAAGCCGACGAUCAGUAGCCGACCUGAGAGGGUGACCGGCCACAGUGGGACUGAGACACGGCCCAAACUCCUACGGGAGGCAGCAGUGGGGAAUAUUGCACAAUGGGGGAAACCCUGAUGCAGCGACGCCGCGUGAGCGAUGAAGUAUUUCGGUAUGUAAAGCUCUAUCAGCAGGGAAGAAAAUGACGGUACCUGACGAAGAAGCACCGGCUAAAUACGUG